Long non-coding RNA from Acyrthosiphon pisum (pea aphid), 845 nucleotides. RefSeq lists it as uncharacterized. The record is from RefSeq and is a predicted model, not a curated record. The transcript is spliced from 2 exons. NCBI's taxonomy places the organism in Eukaryota, Metazoa, Arthropoda, Insecta, Hemiptera, Aphididae.
UUUAAGAGAAAUAUUGUUUGCGAAGUAUUCCCCAUGAUUGUUGGUUCAUGAUAUGUUUGUAGUUGGUCUCAUUAAGUGCAGUACUGUAGUCUCAAUAAUAUAAUAUUAAUUUAUUGUCAUAGAUACAACGACCGUUUUUCCCAAACCAUAAUAUUUUAAUAACUCCAAAAUGUAUUAUGCUUAUACAUUUACAGAAACGCCUGACCGUAAGUCCGUUAAAUGUUUACUUAGUUUAUAAUUCAUAAUACUAAUCAUUUUAUGACUAUUUACGUUUAUAUAUUACUUUACGUUUACAGUUGUUAACAGUAAGUUCAUAUACGAUUUUAUAUUAUAAUAACACAUUAGUCAUUCAAAUACUUAAUCAGUAAAAUAUGCUCAUAACGGACACCCUAUAAGAAGAGGAUUUCCUAACAACAAAGAUUAUACCAACUGCCACGUAUAACCUAUGGAUAAAAUAUCCCUUAUGCCGAACAUCGAUUGAUUUCGCAAAAAAAAAGAUUUUCCAGUGUUUAAUAGACAGCCGUUCAAUAAACUUUUAAAGAAUACAAUUUAUUAUUUAUUGAUUAUCAACAAAUCACUUUAUGAUCAAUAUCAAUCCAUACCUACUUAUAAAUUCUUACUUCAUUUGACUAUAACACACUACCUACCUACUCAAAUCAUCAGAAACCUUCCAUAUUUUAAAUGUAUUAUUUAAUAUUACGAAUCUUACUGUAAAUGUUGAAUUAAAAACAUUUCUAAACAAGCAAAUAUUUAAUCAAUUUAUAAUUUGUUUAUACUUUUAGAAUGUACACGUUCGAUAUUAGACUUUAAAUAUGAUAAAGAUGGUCCAGUGUUUAAAUAUGAUG